RNAcentral lists this transfer RNA (69 nucleotides) under Lamprigera yunnana. Its description in RNAcentral is "tRNA-Gln". The record is from RNAcentral. Lineage: Eukaryota; Metazoa; Arthropoda; Insecta; Coleoptera; Lampyridae.
UGUAUUUUAUUAUAUGAUGUAUAAAAAUUUUUGGAAUUUUUGGUAAUAGUUUAAAUCUAUUAAAUGCAA